This 468-nucleotide ribosomal RNA is filed under the name uncultured bacterium. RNAcentral's name for it is "partial 16S ribosomal RNA". It matches the Rfam family "Bacterial small subunit ribosomal RNA", at positions 28 to 507 of the family's 1533-position model. The record is from RNAcentral.
GACGAACGCUGGCGGCGUGCUUAGCACAUGCAAGUCGAACGGAAAGGCCCUGCUUUUGUGGGGUGCUCGAGUGGCGAACGGGUGAGUAACACGUGAGUAACCUGCCCUUGACUUUGGGAUAACUUCAGGAAACUGGGGCUAAUACCGGAUAGGAGCUCCUGCUGCAUGGUGGGGGUUGGAAAGUUUCGGCGGUUGGGGAUGGACUCGCGGCUUAUCAGCUUGUUGGUGGGGUAGUGGCUUACCAAGGCUUUGACGGGUAGCCGGCCUGAGAGGGUGACCGGCCACAUUGGGUCUGAGAUACGGCCCAGACUCCUACGGGCGGCAGCAGUGGGGAAUAUUGCACAAUGGGCGGAAGCCUGAUGCAGCAACGCCGCGUGCGGGAUGACGGCCUUCGGGUUGUAAACCGCUUUCGCCUGUGACGAAGCGUGAGUGACGGUAAUGGGUAAAGAAGCACCGGCUAACUACGUG